This 466-nucleotide ribosomal RNA is filed under the name uncultured bacterium. RNAcentral's name for it is "partial 16S ribosomal RNA". It matches the Rfam family "Bacterial small subunit ribosomal RNA", at positions 28 to 507 of the family's 1533-position model. The record is from RNAcentral.
GAUGAACGCUGGCGGCGUGCUUAACACAUGCAAGUCGAACGAUGAAGCUCAGCUUGCUGGGUGGAUUAGUGGCGAACGGGUGAGUAACACGUGAGUAACCUGCCCUUAACUCUGGGAUAAGCCUGGGAAACUAGGUCUAAUACCGGAUAGGAGCACCUACCGCAUGGUGGGUGUUGGAAAGAUUUAUCGGUUUUGGAUGGACUCGCGGCCUAUCAGCUUGUUGGUGAGGUAAUGGCUCACCAAGGCGACGACGGGUAGCCGGCCUGAGAGGGUGACCGGCCACACUGGGACUGAGACACGGCCCAGACUCCUACGGGAGGCAGCAGUGGGGAAUAUUGCACAAUGGGCGAAAGCCUGAUGCAGCGACGCCGCGUGAGGGAUGACGGCCUUCGGGUUGUAAACCUCUUUCAGUAGGGAAGAAGCGAAAGUGACGGUACCUGCAGAAGAAGCACCGGCUAACUACGUG